This 54-nucleotide transfer RNA is filed under the name Aegista diversifamilia. Its description in RNAcentral is "tRNA-Ser". Lineage: Eukaryota; Metazoa; Mollusca; Gastropoda; Stylommatophora; Camaenidae. The record is from RNAcentral.
AUAUGUAUAAUUAGGAUUUUGAAAAUCCCACCUGGCAUAUUUUGCCUACAUAUU